AGAAUGAACGUUGGCGGCGUGGAUUAGGCAUGCAAGUCGUACGGGCCGCAAGGCCAGUGGCGCAAGGGUGAGUAAGGCGACGGUAACCAACCCCAUGAUUGGGUAUAGCCGCGGGAAACUGCGGGUAAUCCCCAGCGACGUCUUCCGGAGGCAUCUCCGGUUGACCAAAGCUCCGGCGUCGUGGGACGGGCUGUCGUGGUAUUAGCUUGUUGGCGGGGUAACGGCCCACCAAGGCUUUGAUGCCUACCGGGCGUGCGAGCGUGGCCCGGCACACUGGGACUGAGACACUGCCCAGACUCCUACGGGAGGCUGCAGUCGAGAAUCUUCGGCAAUGGGCGCAAGCCUGACCGAGCGACGCCGCGUGGAGGACGAAGGCCUUCGGGUUGUAAACUCCUGUCGAGGGGGAAGAAGGGGUAAAACCUUGACUGAUCCCUGGAGGAAGCACGGGCUAAGUUCGCGCCAGCAGCCGC
This 470-nucleotide ribosomal RNA is filed under the name uncultured bacterium. RNAcentral's name for it is "SSU rRNA". It matches the Rfam family "Bacterial small subunit ribosomal RNA", at positions 26 to 518 of the family's 1533-position model. The record is from RNAcentral.